GGGGGCGAAAGGAGCUCGACAUGGAAUGGAGGUUUAAACCAGCAGGUGAGUUUGAGAGGUCUCUAAAACUCUCAAAAGAUUUAAAAUGCCAACACAAAUUAUGCUUUUGCAGUAGCGUAAGGUCUACUGCCAGUUUGGGAGAUUUUGUCUCCUUGGUCUCUCAAACUGAGGCGUAAAGGAGACUCGCCUUUAUCCUCAUCCUCAGGGAUAAGGGCUAAAAAGAAUUGAGGAUAUGCUCCAUCUUUUUGUGCCUGUUCAAAAAGAUGGAGAGGAGAAAGAAAUAACAGGCUAAACCUGUAGAAGGUUUAAACUGAGAUUCCAUGGACGCGGGUUCAAUUCCCGCCGCCUCCACCA
RNAcentral lists this transfer-messenger RNA (354 nucleotides) under Caldisericia bacterium. It matches the Rfam family "transfer-messenger RNA". Rfam says of the family: Bacterial tmRNA, also known as 10Sa RNA or SsrA, is named for its dual tRNA and mRNA-like properties. The record is from RNAcentral. Lineage: Bacteria; Pseudomonadati; Caldisericota; Caldisericia.